This 385-nucleotide ribosomal RNA is filed under the name uncultured fungus. Its description in RNAcentral is "eukaryotic LSU rRNA". The stretch from base 1 to 125 matches the Rfam family "5.8S ribosomal RNA", at positions 30 to 154 of the family's 154-position model. The record is from RNAcentral. Lineage: Eukaryota; Fungi.
GCAUCGAUGAAGAACGCAGCCAGUUGCGAUAAGUAGUGUGAAUUGCAGAAUUCAGUGAAUCAUCGAAUCUUUGAACGCAAAUUGCGCUUUCUGGAUAUCCAGGGAGCAUGCCUGUCUGAGCGUCGUGUAAUAAUCUACGCAUCCCGGUGUGGGUAGGGAGGGAGCUCAAGCGAAUAUUCCUUGUUUGGCUCUCGAUGUAACUGAACCUAGUGGUGUGCACUGUGCAUUGCUUGGAAGGCUCAACUGCUUCUGUCCUUCUUCAGCAGUGCUGGUGUCGCAACACACUAGUGUACCAUUUCUGGCCUUCCGCCUGAAAACUACUAUAUUUUGACCUCAGAUCAGACAAGACUACCCGCUGAAUUUAAGCAUAUCAAUAAGCGGAGGA